This is a long non-coding RNA of Apis cerana (Asiatic honeybee), 2716 nucleotides long. RefSeq lists it as uncharacterized. The record is from RefSeq and is a predicted model, not a curated record. Lineage: Eukaryota; Metazoa; Arthropoda; Insecta; Hymenoptera; Apidae.
AAUUAAUUUAUUAUAAUUCAUUAUUUAUUUUUACUUGCUUGAAAUAUAUAAUGAUAGAAAUUUUUACGAAAUGGAACGUUCGCCCUUCUAAGAUUUAUUCAAUUGACGCAUCGUCAUUGCAAGGAAGAUGAUCGCGCCAUCUACGAUCGUUUCCUUUCACUUCGAGUCCCGACAUUUUUGCAAGAAUCCUUUGAGCCCUCUGAGUCAUCGACAAAAUCUUCACACUGCGUAGAAAACUCGAUCCCUUCUGAACCAAGAUCAAACGGGUUUCUAUAAUUUUUUACGUCUUGUGAAUCGUGUGAUUAUUGAUCAUAAAGUUGGACUUCAUCUAUUGUUCGAAUAAUGAAUAAUAAACGAAGAAAAAAAAUUUGAAAGAUUUGUUCGUGAAUAAAUAACAAUUUUGUUUCAAGGGAAAUUAUUCGAUAUUUACGAUGAUUAACUAGAGGAAUUUUUGCUUAAGAUGUAAAUUAAAGUAAUUGGCAAUUGGAUAUAAUGCAGAGGUUUCGGUUACAAACCGUUACAAUAUGUUUAUUCCAGUCUCGAUCGAAACAAAAUUUUAUUGUCAUCGUAUGAUGUCACGAAGGGCUGACGUAAGACGCGAAACAGUCUUUGCAAAUCGUGCCACAGUGACAGUAUAAAUAAUAUUUUCUUGGAUCAAGACCUCUUUUAACUUUUCUUAAUAGAUCAUUGACCACUCGCUUGCGAAUGCAUCCAUUUAUGCGAUUAUUAAAAAGAAACAAAGUAAUUCCACGUAUGAGAAAGAUUAAAAAUGUAUAUAUUCAGAAUGAGUAGCAAAAUGUCAAUUUAAAUUAUUAAUUGAAAAUUGAUUUGUAACGCUACAAAUAGGAAUUUCAAGUUUAUCUUCGAUAUUUUGUAAAUAGACCUGUAAUUUUUCACACAGAUCCAAAAUUCAAGAAUAUAUAUUUUUCCAUCUGUAAUUUAAGAAAUUUAUUUUAAUUCAAGAAAUUUAAGAACUCAAAAAUUAGAUUAGAAAAAAUUCUUCCACAAAAGAAAACACAAAAUUCCUUGACACGGGGAAGAAGAGAGGGAAGGCUUACAUUUUCAUCGUAAUCAAUCGCUGAUGAGCUCGCCGUCAGUAAUGACGGCAGACGUGUGCGGAAGUGUUGGAUGGAAAAUGUUUGGAUAAUCGCCGCUUAAUUGGAAACACGAUAACCUUCGGGAUUAUUAGGUUCGUUUGCGGGAUCUGGCCCGAAUCAGGGAGAAGGUCUAACGGGUAGUAAAUUACUCAUUGGCCGCGAACCUUCGUUUUCGACCAGGUUUCUUUUUGGAGCGAGGAUAAUUUCUUUGGAAACGAGAAAAGAAUUGAUUUAAUUUGGAUACUCGAUCUCUGAUCGGCGGAGACACUGGAUGGACGAUGGAAUUGAAUUGCAGAAGAGAAGAGGAUAAAUUGUGUGGUAAAUUGUGUGUGAAGUUAAAUUUAUUUUUUUAUGCAACAUUUUGAAAUAAAAAAGAUUAAGUAGUAGUAUUUAAGGUAAAAUAUAAUAAAGUAAUUAAAAAGUUAAGGAUAAAUUUGGAUUUAUCAGUCAUUUUUAUUAACAAUAACUCCAACAAUUGACAAUUUAAUUGUUGACACUGUCGUUAAUAUCUGCCAAAAUAUCUUUUAAAAACAGGAAAUCCAAUAUACGAAUUUAAAAUUGCAUAAGCUAAGUUGCAUCUGCUGAUCAUUUUACGAACCCGAAUUAUUUCAUUCUUGGCACUGUUAUCAACAAUAUCUGUGUAAAUUAUAACAAAGCAACACUGAUGUUCGUAGUUGCCAAAAUAUUUGAACAAAUUAGAGUGCAACAACAAGGGGUACGUGAUAUAAAGAAGAGGUCUCAAGUUUCAGACUUGAAGCACAGACGGAGGAAGCCUGUUUUUCGAGGCAAUCGAAUCACCAAUGAACCGUAACCACCAUCCCUCGCCCUCUUCCAGAAUAGACUAUUUUAAUUCAAUAUCCUGUUAACUUCACAGUCGACUUAUUUUCACCAGUGUCGCAUGUAAUAGUAAGGGAAAGCUACACAACAUCGUCAUUGCAAAUCUUCUGAACAAAAAUCAUCAAAAAUCUAAAAAAAUUCGAGAGUUUAAAGAAAAGAACUAAUAUUAAAAUUUUACUUGUUUUAUUACGGUUUUAUUAUACAGAAUCUCACGAAGAUUGGCACAUCUGUAAUUGCGAGAGAAUUUAAUUAUUUAAUAAAAAGAAGAAUCGAAUCACUGGAACAGCUAGAGAUUUCGAAGAAGCGUGGAAUUUUUCACAGAGAACGGAAAUUGAUGAAAUAACUUUUCCACGUGAUAUGUAUCGAAUUAAAAAAAAAAAUUCGACUGCAAUUUAUUUGAUAAACAUUAGCUUUGAUAAAACACUAGAAUUGAUAAAAUUUCGAACGAUAGAGAAUAAUUCAGAGCGUGAUAUUUUUAGAGUGAAAUUCGUUUUAUUAGAAUAUAACGUAGUAUAACGUAGUAUAGAAUUCUUUGAGAGCCUUGAGAAUGGUGAAAAAAAUAAUCCUAGAUGAUCCAGAUUGUGAAAGAUAUAUUAGCAGGUGAGAAUUGGUAAAAAACGAUAUUAAUUUUAUUAAAAAUAUUUUUUCAUUUUUAAUAAUCAUUAACAAGAAGAAAAAAAGCGAAAUCUAUCGUUUUAAGCAGUUCGUUAUUAAAAUGGUUUUGUUAUUAAAUAUUCUUUUUCUUUUAAAUAUAAUCGUCGAUUCCAUGGUUCCAUGAGAAA